UACCAGCACCCCGAGUGGUCGGGACGUUUAUUGGGCCUAAAGCAUCCGUAGCCGGUUCUACAAGUCUUCCGUUAAAUCCACCUGCUCAACAGAUGGGCUGCGGAAGAUACUAUGGAGCUAGGAGGCGGGAGAGGCAAGCGGUACUCGAUGGGUAGGGGUAAAAUCCGUUGAUCCAUUGAAGACCACCAGUGGCGAAGGCGGCUUGCCAGAACGCGCUCGACGGUGAGGGAUGAAAGCUAGGGGAGCGAACAGG
Molecule: ribosomal RNA, 253 nt
Filed under: uncultured bacterium
Lineage: Bacteria
Description: partial 16S ribosomal RNA
Rfam family: Archaeal small subunit ribosomal RNA
Source: RNAcentral